This 76-nucleotide transfer RNA is filed under the name Candidatus Kinetoplastidibacterium kentomonadis. RNAcentral describes it as "Candidatus Kinetoplastibacterium sorsogonicusi tRNA-Ala". It matches the Rfam family "tRNA". Rfam says of the family: Transfer RNA (tRNA) molecules are approximately 80 nucleotides in length. Their secondary structure includes four short double-helical elements and three loops (D, anti-codon, and T loops). Further hydrogen bonds mediate the characteristic L-shaped molecular structure. tRNAs have two regions of fundamental functional importance: the anti-codon, which is responsible for specific mRNA codon recognition, and the 3' end, to which the tRNAs corresponding amino acid is attached (by aminoacyl-tRNA synthetases). tRNAs cope with the degeneracy of the genetic code in two manners: having more than one tRNA (with a specific anti-codon) for a particular amino acid; and 'wobble' base-pairing, i.e. permitting non-standard base-pairing at the 3rd anti-codon position. The record is from RNAcentral. Lineage: Bacteria; Pseudomonadati; Pseudomonadota; Betaproteobacteria.
GGGGUGAUAGCUCAAAAGGUAGAGUUUCGUGUUCGCAAUGCGAAGGUUGGGAGUUCAAUUCUCCCUCACUCCACCA